GUAAUAUGUCUGAUUAAAGUAAUAGUUUGUAAAUCUAUAUAAGAAAUUUCAAUUUCUAUUACCA
RNAcentral lists this transfer RNA (64 nucleotides) under Ammothea calmani. Its description in RNAcentral is "tRNA-Tyr". It matches the Rfam family "tRNA". Rfam says of the family: Transfer RNA (tRNA) molecules are approximately 80 nucleotides in length. Their secondary structure includes four short double-helical elements and three loops (D, anti-codon, and T loops). Lineage: Eukaryota; Metazoa; Arthropoda; Pycnogonida; Pantopoda; Ammotheidae. The record is from RNAcentral.